This 4488-nucleotide long non-coding RNA is filed under the name Gossypium barbadense (sea-island cotton). RNAcentral's name for it is "long non-coding RNA (GBAR_LNC018534)". The record is from RNAcentral. Lineage: Eukaryota; Viridiplantae; Streptophyta; Magnoliopsida; Malvales; Malvaceae.
UUGAGCUUGCAUUAAAUACAUGUAUUCUGUACGUGUUUUGUAGAAUGGAAAAUAGAAUUCUUUCUUUCAUGUGUUAGUCGUUAUCUUAGCAAAACUAUCUAUUUCGAGUGUACCAAACUGCCCAGUAAGCAAUCACCAUAAUCUUCAUAUCUCUAAUAUCUGCUUGAUUGAAGACCUCUCUGCUAACCAAAGCCUGUAAUCUGGUUAUUGUGAGGCAAGAAACACCCCAAUUUUCAACGAGCCAAAUGUUUGCUUAGAGAUAGAAUAAAAUCUCAACAAAUAAUCCACCGUUUCUUCAGCUUCCUUGCACAAAGGAGAUAGGUUGUCAACACGCAGCUUGCACCUCAAUAAAUUCCCAAAAGUAGGUAAAAAAUUAUUAAAAAAUCUAUACAUAGUAAUCUUAAUUUUUGCUGGAAUUUGUAAUGUCCAUAACUUUGUAUAAAACACUAUAAUUACGCUAGGCAUAGUCGUAGAAUGUAAUCUCCUAUUGUGUAACUCUUCAUCAAGAAGCAACUUGUAUCCACUCAUGGAAGAAUAUUCACUCGACCCUUUAUAGCGCCACACAAAAGUAUCUGGAGGUCUCGUUUGAGCAAAUGGAACAGUAAGAACCUUCUCAUCCUAAUCGAUCUUAAGAAUGGAUCUAACUCAUCAUUUAAUCCAGGUACACGAAUCUGCAUUAGUCAAUUGUGCCACAAUAGUAAAUCUAACAUUUAUAUGCUGACACUGAACUCUUUCAUUUCUUGGACUAGGAAUCCAAGAAUUAUUCCAUAUAUUGACCUUAUCCCCAAUACCAAUUCGCCAACCAACUCCUAUUUCAAUUAAACCCCUAGCGCUUAAGAUACUUCUCCAGUUAAAUUAAGAGUAAGUUCUAACCGAGCUAACAUAAAAUCUAUCUGUGGAUAAUACCUAGCUUUCAAAAAUUUAGCCAACAAACUAUCUGGAUGAGUAAUAAUACGCCAACAUCUUUUGGCUAAUAGGGCAAUAUUAAAUUUGGACAAAUCACAAAAACCUAAUCCUCCCUCUGCUUUCGGCAAACAAAGUGAAUGUCAUGUAACUCAAUGUAUAGCUCAUCAAGAUUUAUUUUUCCUUUACCAAAAUAAGUUAAGAAAAUUUUCUAACUUGCUAAAUAACACUUUUGGUAAGAGGAAACACUACAUUGCAUAGACAGGUAUAGCUUGCAAAACUGCCUUAAUAAAGACCUCUUUCUCCCCCCAAUCGACAAAUAUCUCAUACUCUAGUCUUCUACUUUCUUGUUAAACCGACCCAAGUAAUGCACAAAAGCUUGCUUCUUACGUCUACCAACCAUCAUCGGCAGACCCAAAUACUUUUCUGGGCUUGUUAAAACCCUAACUCCUAAAAGGCUAUCCACAAUCUCCCGCUCAACUGAUCCAACAUUAGCCCCAAAAUGAUUCACCUUGCCUCAAACCUCUCGAAGGUAAAAAUGAUUCACUACUGCAAACAUUAACGCCAAUCGUAUAGGAAACAUAGGUCACACACUUCAUAACCAAAGCCACACAACUAUCACGAAAGCCCAAUGUAACAUUAUCCCUGCUAAAAAAUCUCACUCCACCCUAUCAUAUGCUUUACUCAUGUCGAGCUUAAACACAAAAUUACCCUGCUAGCCAAAUCUUUUUAUUUUAAGGGAAUGCAAAAUUUCAUACGCAACUAGAACAUUAUCUACAAUCUGCCUUCCAGGUAUAAAAGCUCAUUGAGCCUCAUCAAGACAACCUUUCAAAACUCUACUCAUUCUGCCCACUAUUACUUUAGCAAUGAUUUUGUACAGAACAUUGUACAAGCUAAUAGGUCUAAAUUACGUCAUGUUUCUGGGACUACUGACCUUCAGGAUCAAGACAAUAUGAGUCUUAUUUAUUUCCUCAAUGGCAACCUCCCCACGAAGAACCGCAAGAUAGUAUUUCGUAGCAUCAUUGCCUACAAUAUGCCAAUAUUUUUUUUGUAAAAAAAAAGCAAGAAAACCAUUAAUACAUGAUUCUUUAAUAGGUUUCAUAGACUUGACUGCAGCCUAUACUUCCUCAAGUCUGAAAGGUAGCAACAACUACUUAUUUAUACCUGGUGAAGCCUUUCUUUGAACAUUAGCACAAAUCCACGAAGCAUCCCUCGCAGGGGAGGCCGUAAAAAUUUCAAUGAAAUAAUUUGAGGCAAUUUUCAAAACCUCUUCCUCCUCAGAUACCCAAAUUGCCUCUUCACCCUCAAUACCGAUAAUAUUAUUGCACUUUUUUCGACCAGUUGCAACUUUAUGAAAGAAAGCAAUGUUUCUAUCACCAUUUAAAAGCCAAUUGAUACGAGUUCUCUGUUGCCAAAAUAAUUCCGCCUUAUCUGCUUCUAAUUCAAGCUAAGCUGAAUCUUUGACAACUCAGUGAAGAUAUCAUCAUUUGGAUCUUUUUUAUAAAGCUCUUUCAUUUUGAGUUGUAGCCUUUUUUUUAUUAACCUCUCUAUUUCUUUUUACCGUAUGGCUCUAAUGUCUCAACUUUCUUCCUAACCCAACCAAUUUUGAAGGCAACGUGUCUAAAGAUGAAGACUAAAAUUGGCUUAUUGCUUCUUCACAAAACCCCUCCAAACACCAAUUAGCAUCAAAACGAAAAUUAUGACAACCCCCUCUCUGCCAACGUCUUCGCCCUUUCAUAUCUAUUACUACUAGAUAGUGAUCAAUAAAAGAAUGUCUCCAAUGAGCAACUGAAUAAUUAAGAAACAAACUCUACCAUGUUGUAUUCGGCACUCCCCUAUCAAGCUUCUCCCAAAUGUUGUUUGCCACUAAUCUACCUCUCUUCCACAUGAACCAGCACCUUGUAAACCCUAAAUUACUUAGAUCACAGUCUUGUAGAGAAGAUCUAAAAGCCUCCAUAUUCCUUUUCACUCGUAACCAUGCACAUUUAUUUUUAAAAAAUAUACUAUCUCAUUAAAAUACCCAACUACCAACCACGGAAUAGAUUGAUCUUCACCCAACUGGAAAAGUAGAUCUUAAGAAUUGCUCAUUAGGCGUUCCUUAGGAUGCCUAUAAAACCAGUAAAACGCCAUAAAAAACCCUCUUGCUCAUCUUGAAUGUCAACAUCAAUAUGAUACUGCGAAUAGCUUUGCAAACUAGAUACUGCGAAUAGCUUUGCAAACUAACCACACAACUUUGUCUCUAACCCAACGAUAAUCCUCCUCUAGAACCCACUACUCCCACAUUAAUUCCAUUAGAAAAUUCACACUUCCUCCUAACUACUUCCAUCAUUCUCGCGCUAACUUUUUUUUAUAAGAAACACAAUUUGGGAACAAAUUUCUCUCAGCUUACUCCUGAGACGAUUUAUAGCAUGUGGCUUCCUCAGCCCACGAACAUUCCAACUUAAGGUUUUCAUUGCGCCUAGCUGGCCUACAUUGUAGAGCUAGCCGAUCUAUCUUAACAUUCCCUUGAACCCCAACAUCGCUAUUGAACAAAUCAGUAGAAAUUGCACCAAGCAUUCGUUGUCUUUUUUUCCCUUCAACAAAUUGAAUAGAACACUCUUUACCAUCUGAGCCUAACUCCAUAAGCUCAAAAUCAUUAGACCCAUUAACCUUCGACUCAUUCUCCCAGUUAGGUACUCAUUCAUUUGCAUUAGCCAAUUGGAAUCUUAUGGACCAUACCAGAUUUUAAUUGCGAUUAGGAUAGAUAUUUGUAACAUUAUCCCCAAAAUUACAUUCGUUCAUAGUCCUAUCCUUAUCCAACCUCUGACUCACCGUUCUAUCUGACUCCUGUAACCAUCUGCUAACUACCGAAGACCCUUUUUGUAACCGGAGCACACAACGAAAUAUCCCACCCAAAAAGAAUCUUAGCCAGAUCUAUCCUCACCCUAACUGGGAAAAAACUCUACCCAUGCUCAAGCUUCCCAUAGAGAAAACAAAAUACGCUGAGCUUUUUAUACUGAAACCUAACAUAUAGCAUCUAACUAGCCCCCAACACAAUCUUCUUUUUACGCUCAAUGGAAGUCAAAUGUCCAGUCGAACCUUAAUCCUCAUAUACCUCUUCACAACAAACAUUGAAAUCUUCGUAUCAUAAUCAAGAAAACUGCCCAAAAAAUAACGAAAUUGAUGCGCAAUUGCUUUUGACAUCAGACCCGAAGGCAGAUCGUGAAUCUACACCCAAAACUCCACAUAUAACAAUGGCAAUGUAUUCGGAUCCUCCCCUAGUUGAAUCUUAUGCAAUAACAACAAAUGAUUAUUAAAAAACCACAGAGUCCCCUCUAAAACCCAAUUCACAUCAACUUCAUAAAAGAACCAAACAAAACAUGCUUCUCACCUAGAUUUGUGAUAGAAAUACCUUCAAUAGGGUACCAUAAAUCAGCCAAUGUGUUUCUCAAUGAAGAGAAGUGCACUACACUAUCUGUUAAGCAACUUCCAACAAAACAAAACUUGAAAUCUUUUCUAACUCACUCUCCUCUUGAAACGCCUCCACCUCCUCGUCGACAAGAAUCAAAUUUUCCAACUCGUCCUCCAUGGCCUCCUCCACGAGCC